RNAcentral lists this ribosomal RNA (171 nucleotides) under Triticum aestivum (bread wheat). RNAcentral's name for it is "partial small subunit ribosomal RNA". Lineage: Eukaryota; Viridiplantae; Streptophyta; Magnoliopsida; Poales; Poaceae. The record is from RNAcentral.
AUGUCCUCCCUCUUCAUACUCAUGGCUUGGCAAAUUUGAAACGACAGAAAUGCUCGUGUCUUACGUGAUAUCUCCUCCAUGGCUACUGCGGUCUUCGCCAAGGUAAAGCAAGAGGCUUCCUAUUGGAUUCUAGCUGGCAUGAAACAUUUCAGAUAUUUGAUGCUGCAGUAG